Molecule: ribosomal RNA, 497 nt
Filed under: uncultured bacterium
Lineage: Bacteria
Description: partial 16S ribosomal RNA
Rfam family: Bacterial small subunit ribosomal RNA
Source: RNAcentral
GAUGAACGCUGGCGGCGUGCCUAAUACAUGCAAGUCGAGCGAACGGACGAGAAGCUUGCUUCUCUGAUGUUAGCGGCGGACGGGUGAGUAACACGUGGAUAACCUACCUAUAAGACUGGGAUAACUUCGGGAAACCGGAGCUAAUACCGGCUAAUAUUUUGAACGGCUGGGUGCAAAAGUUAAUCACGGCUUUCCCGUUACUAUUAGACGGUUCCGCGCUGCAUUAGCUAGUUGGUAAGGUAACGGCUUACCAAGGCAACGAUGCAUAGCCGACCUGAGAGGGUGAUCGGCCACACUGGAACUGAGACACGGUCCAGACUCCUACGGGAGGCAGCAGUAGGGAAUCUUGCGCAAUGGGCGAAAGCCUGACGGAGCAACGCCGCGUGAGUGAUGAAGGUCUUCGGAUCGUAAAACUCUGUUAUUAGGGAAGAACAUAUGUGUAAGUAACUGUGCACAUCUUGACGGUACCUAAUCAGAAAGCCACGGCUAACUACGUG